This 1115-nucleotide ribosomal RNA is filed under the name Audouinella sp. 1hermannii. RNAcentral's name for it is "bacterial LSU rRNA". It matches the Rfam family "Bacterial large subunit ribosomal RNA", at positions 1333 to 2465 of the family's 2925-position model. The record is from RNAcentral. Lineage: Eukaryota; Rhodophyta; Florideophyceae; Acrochaetiales; Acrochaetiaceae.
UGCCCCGAAAACCUAAGGAUUCCUCUGGAAGGUUCGUCCACGGAGGGUGAGUCAGGGCCUAAGGCGAGGCUGAAAAGCGUAGUCGAUGGAUAACAGGUUAAUAUUCCUGUACUGUUUAUGAUUGAUAACGAGGGACGAAGAAGGCUAGAUCAGCCGGAUGUUGGUUACCGGUUUAAACUUUUAAUGUGUUGAAGGGUGGAGAAAACAUCACGAGCAAAGAAGUGAAUACAAGAUACCAAGGUAUCAAAGUGAUCGAUGUCAUACUUCCUAGAAAAGCUUGAUAUAUCUUAAAUCAUAAGUACCUGUACCCGAAACCGACACAGGUAGGUAGGUAGAGUAUACCAAGGGGCGCGAGAUAACUCUCUCUAAGGAACUCGGCAAAAUGGCCCCGUAACUUCGGAAGAAGGGGUACCCUUUUAGGGUUGCAAUAACCAGGCCCAAGCGACUGUUUAUCAAAAACACAGGUCUCCGCUAAGUCGUAAGACAAUGUAUGGGGGCUGACGCCUGCCCAGUGCCGGAAGGUUAAAGAAGUUGGUUAAUAUUAUUAUGAAGCUGACGACUGAAGCCCCGGUGAACGGCGGCCGUAACAAUAACGGUCCUAAGGUAGCGAAAUUCCUUGUCGGGUAAGUUCCGACCCGCACGAAAGGCGUAACGAUUUGGGUACUGUCUCGGAGAGAGACUCGGCGAAAUAGACUUGUCUGUGAAGAUGCGGACUACCUGCACCUGGACAGAAAGACCCUAUGAAGCUUUACUGUAACUUGGAAUUGAGUUUGGGCUUUUCUUGCGCAGCAUAGGUGGGAGGCUAAGACAACAAGUUUGCGGAUUUGUUAGAGCUGUUAGUGAGAUACCACUCUAGAAAAGCUAAAAUUCUAACCUUGAAAGCCGUUAUCCGGCCAAGGAACAGUUUCAGGUGGGCAGUUUGACUGGGGCGGUCGCCUCCUAAAAAGUAACGGAGGCGUGCAAAGGUUCCCUCAGGCUGGUUGGAAAUCAGUCGUAGAGUAUAAAGGCAUAAGGGAGCUUGACUGCAAGACCUACAAGUCGAGCAGAGACGAAAGUCGGCCUUAGUGAUCCGACAGUGCCGAGUGGAAGGGCUGUCGCUCAACGGAUAAAAGUUA